UGGAUUGUGGCUCAGUGGCAGAGCACUUACCUCACAUGUAUGAGGCACUGGGUUUGAUCCUCAGCACCACAU
This is a non-coding RNA of Ictidomys tridecemlineatus (thirteen-lined ground squirrel), 72 nucleotides long. The record is from Rfam. NCBI's taxonomy places the organism in Eukaryota, Metazoa, Chordata, Mammalia, Rodentia, Sciuridae.